Molecule: long non-coding RNA, 532 nt
Organism: Acanthochromis polyacanthus (spiny chromis)
Lineage: Eukaryota; Metazoa; Chordata; Actinopteri; Pomacentridae
Exons: 2
Source: RefSeq, a predicted model, not a curated record
AAAACAUCAUCUGCUGCCAGAAAACAUCGUCUGAAUCCCAACCCCCCCUACACACUCCCCCUACACUACCGAGUGUCACUCCAAAAGAAGUCACACUCAGCUGUGGAGGGCACCUAUUAUUGAAGGGGGAGGGUAUAAAUACGAUCGUCAGGAAUGGGACGCCCUGUCGCCUCACCGGAAAACGGAAGACGUCAUCGCCAUGGUAACAGAAAGACGCCUACUGUCAUGGCUGUAGCGCUGUGGCACAGGUUGCAACUAACAAGGAUCGCUGCUGCUUCCAGAAGACGAAAGCGUCCCACUUUUUUCACUCACAUGUUUUCCAAUCCUAUUAUCUGGCAUUUCAGAUCCAACAAAUGAAUGAAUGAAUUCUGUCAGUUGUGUUCAAAUGUUAAGGUGUCAGGGGGUGCACAAUUAAAUCAAACGUCAGCAGAGAAGAAGAUUUGUUUCUUUUGUUUUAUCUUUUUACACCACUCUUUGUGAUGUUCUGUCAGUGUGAAAAAGGCGUGGGAGAAAUAAACGCAUGUGGAACUUA